AAGUCGUAACAAGGUUUCCGUAGGUGAACNUGCGGAAGGAUCAUUA
This 46-nucleotide ribosomal RNA is filed under the name Leucetta floridana. Its description in RNAcentral is "partial 18S ribosomal RNA". It matches the Rfam family "Eukaryotic small subunit ribosomal RNA", at positions 1786 to 1831 of the family's 1831-position model. Lineage: Eukaryota; Metazoa; Porifera; Calcarea; Clathrinida; Leucettidae. RNAcentral also lists the same sequence under 1 other name. The record is from RNAcentral.